RNAcentral lists this long non-coding RNA (2512 nucleotides) under Leguminivora glycinivorella. RNAcentral describes it as "uncharacterized LOC125240735". The record is from RNAcentral. Lineage: Eukaryota; Metazoa; Arthropoda; Insecta; Lepidoptera; Tortricidae.
ACAGACAGACAGACACACGAGUGAUCCUAUAAGGUUCCCGUUUUUCCUUUUUGAGGUACAGAAUCCUAAAAACGAAACUUUUUUUACGAAAGUGAGAGUGAGAAGAGAGUAAAUCCAUCUCACUGUCACUUUUAUGAAACAAUUCCAAUAUAAAAUGUGAAAAUUUCAAAGGGAUACCCUGUAAGAAAUUCCUAAUUUAUUUGCUUCUACAGUUAACAAUAUUGUCCUUUUAUUCGAAAAUGUUUGAACGAUGUAUCAAAUGUGAAACGUUAUUCGACUUAAACGUGGCCUAAACGAAAAUAUUACUUUGCUAAAUGAAAAUUGUCCAAUAAUAGUUCGAAUAAUUUGCACAGAAGCGAACUAAACCGAACCAAGAUUCUACAUAAAACGUUAUUUGACCAAAAGUGACAGCUAUAGUUUGAUUAUUCUACUAAAUGGCAUUCGGCGAAUCGUUGUCGGCGAAUCAAUAAUAGGCUAAAAAAAAUAUCGGAGAAUCACUAUAGGUGUAGCCAUUUAUUUAAAUAAAAAACUAAAUCCUUAUAUAGUUUCUUUUUGACCCAGUGGUUGACUGGUGGAGAAUGCUUUAAGGCAUUAAGCCCACCAUUUGUACUUAUUUUUUAUGUGCAAUAAAUAAAUAUAAUAUUCAGUAAUGUCUUUAGAAUUUUUACAUUACGUAAAAUACUCUAAAGAACUCCAAGGAGGGCUAAAAGUCACCAAAAUGGUGACUUUUGGAACCGUCUAGCAACACUGAUUAAGGAAGGGCAGGGCGGGGCACCAUUAUCGCGUGUUGCCAAUUAUAAAGAAAAAUGUUGGGUAGUAUAAUAUAGAGCCCUAUAACGAGAAAGGCAGUAUAUACAAGUAUUCCCGACGUUUGGACCGUGUAGAUUAUAAUUAUACACGUUUAUAAUCUCUCACGAAUCAGAAAUGUAAAAGUAAAACUCGUGCCACAUUAUAGUCUAAUGAAAUAUUGAGUGGCAACACCCAAUAAAAUGUCAUUCUGACAUUGAUAACUUUGACAAGCUACUCAAGCUCUCUAGCUAGCUAGUCUUUGUUGAGUUCAUGAUGAUAUUCGUGAUAUUUUUGCCGUGAUAUGCAAAUGCAAACAAAAACAAGGGUCAGAGUAUAGCAAAAGGGGCCCGAUUCUGGGACUUAGAAAAAUUUGUGAAGAAUUUUUUUUUGAAGAAGAAAGGGAAAACAUGGAGUGUCUAGAAGUGGUGUCCAAAUUUGUAGGAAAACUCGACGUUUCUGAAGAAAAAUAAGUUCUUUUGGAAAAUCUUGGGAUGCUGAAAGACUUGCUGAUUGAAAAGAUUUGCUUAGUCAAAACAAAAUUUAGAGAAAAUAUCGUCAAUGACUGAUAUCAGUUUUUCUACAUUGAAAAGAAUAAAUAUUGAGGGAAAAGCUAACCAUGGUAUCUUCUGUACUCCAGGGAAGAAAGGAUCAGACAAGCCCACAAGAUAGAGCUAAUCUGGAGCUCAGCAAAGAGAAGAGUCACAAGCAAAAAUUUUGGCAUACCAGCAGCUGACCUUGAAAAACUUAUUCAGGAAGCUUUUGACAGCAUAACACCAGAGCUUUAGAAGAAAAUGACUCAUCAUGUGCUCAAUAUUGAAGCUCAGUGUAAAACCAGAAACAGAAUAAUGGAAGAACUUGAAUCGUUUAUUUUAAGUGUGUUUAAUGAUGAUGACUCUGACAGUAGUUCAGAAUCAAUGGACGCUGAGUUUCUAGAAUCCGAUUUUGAUUAUAGUUCCUAAUAAAGUACAAAACCUUCUUAAUUUUACAUAAUUUUAAAUUAAAGGAAAAAUGGAAAAAUUCACAUAUUAUUUGCAGAUAAAAAAUAACUUCUUAAUUUUACUUAAAUUUUUCCUUGCACAACAUAAUUAUUAGGCUCAUUCACUACAGAGAGUGCUCUGCUCUCGGUCAAUCGGUCAAAUGAACUAGUUGGUCUUUUAGUUCCUUUAGAUCGGUGGUUAUUGGGAGUCAGGGAUGAUUUAGGUCUGAUACAUUUCAUUCCAGACUCCUUUUACAUAUGAUAUUUUUCCAAUCUUUGGUAACUGAAUAUAAUUCCAAGUUUUAGUACCUAUAAUAUUAUCCAAGUUAUAUUUUAUAUAGAAAAUAUUUAAUUUUCCUGCAUAGAUUUAGACCUUAAACAUUCCUUUCAUCUCUUUCACACUUGUGCGAAUGGCAUUUUUUACUGUUUCGUUCCGCCUGUUAUCCAGUUCACUCGGUCAAGCGCUCUCCGAUCCCACUGAACUAUAGGACCUAAUAAGGACCGAUUAAGACCGUGCAAGAUUUAGUUCCUUUCGGUCAUUUAUGGGAUUUCAUUCCUAUCAGUACUUAGCUCAUGACCGACACAAGCCUACAACGUAUCAGCAUUGCGAUACAACGAGCAAAUGUCUCCAGCAUCCUUGGUACAAUGCCUAAAUGGCGUAGCUAUUGUAGACUAGGCUAGUUCUUAAUUUCAUUUCAUUAUGAUUUUAUUUAUUAUUGUAGAGAAAUAAAUGAUUAUGACAUUUUA